This is a long non-coding RNA of Macadamia integrifolia, 366 nucleotides long. RefSeq lists it as uncharacterized. Lineage: Eukaryota; Viridiplantae; Streptophyta; Magnoliopsida; Proteales; Proteaceae. The record is from RefSeq and is a predicted model, not a curated record. The transcript has 3 exons.
AGAAGGAGAAGGAAGAAGAAUAGGAGAGGCAGAGGUGUACAACAAUCCUUCUUGCUGCUGUAUACUCACUCGGCUGCUGUUAUUCAGCCAUGGAAGCUGCUUAAGGUGAGUGCAUGCAAGUGAGUUGCACUCUCCACUUCAAGAUGGUACUGAUUGGGUCUUGAUUCAUCUGAAAUUUGGAGAGAAUGGAUGCUCAAGCUAUAUGCAUACACCAAGAGAACACAAACGGAAUCAUAUGACCACAUUUGUUGAGGAUACGCAAGGCUAGGACAUUGGUGAAGGAUUUCAGAUUUUGAGAUUUCAGGUGUUGAAGUUGAAGCAGAGAAGAGCAGGAGAUUGUUGAAGAUAAAGUCAUGGGAAGGGAGC